CAUUACAGAGUUCAUGCCCUCACGGGUAGACCUCCCACCCUUGUGUAUUAUUACUAUGUUGCUUUGGCGGGCCGUCAGGCUUCGGUCAGGCCCCCGGCUCAGGCUGGGAAGCGCCCGCCAGAGGACCCCAAAACUCUGAAUUAUAAUAUCGUCUGAGUACUAUAAAAUAGUUAAAACUUUCAACAACGGAUCUCUUGGUUCUGGCAUCGAUGAAGAACGCAGCGAAAUGCGAUAAGUAAUGUGAAUUGCAGAAUUCAGUGAAUCAUCGAAUCUUUGAACGCACAUUGCGCCCCUUGGUAUUCCGGGGGGCAUGCCUGUUCGAGCGUCAUUUCAACCCUCAAGCACAGCUUGGUAUUGGGCCCUGCCAGCGAUGGCAGGCCCUAAAAUCAGUGGCGGCGCCGCUGGGCCCUGAGCGUAGUAAUUCUCUCGCUACAGGGUCCCCGCGGGCUCCCGCCAGAACCCCCAAUUUUCUAUGGUUGACCUCGGAUCAGGUAGGGAUACCC
RNAcentral lists this ribosomal RNA (503 nucleotides) under uncultured Ascomycota. Its description in RNAcentral is "eukaryotic LSU rRNA". The stretch from base 175 to 328 matches the Rfam family "5.8S ribosomal RNA". The record is from RNAcentral. Lineage: Eukaryota; Fungi; Ascomycota.